Molecule: long non-coding RNA, 3729 nt
Filed under: Olea europaea subsp. europaea
Lineage: Eukaryota; Viridiplantae; Streptophyta; Magnoliopsida; Lamiales; Oleaceae
Source: RNAcentral
CAACCGUCUUCAACUGAACUCCUUGAAUUGUGGAACGUGAUAAGGUUACUCAAUAACUGCACUUCUGGAUAACCAUAACAUCUUAUGUUUGCUAAGAUCCUGGGCGAUUCGAAAGUUUGGGCGAGAACAAAGUCAUAGCUCUGGGCGACUGUAAGGCACUUCAUUCGCUCAGAUCUUGGGCGUCUUGCAAGCUUGGGCGAUGAUGUUAUCGUGUUCGUGGGCUUCCACUGCAUUCAUUAAUAACCCUAUCUGGGCCUUUAUCCUGAAUUGUCCAGUUGGGCUUCAUUCUUUGGGCUAUUUGAUUUGGAAAUUCCCAAAUUGGGCUUCAUUCCUUGGGCUAUUCGAUUUGUGCUGCACUUUUAGUGUGUCAACGAUUAUCCCCCAAUAUGGCACAAUUAAUACCAAUUAUUAAUCUUUGCCAUAUUUACUUUGUGUUUCCCAACAACAUUUGAAAUUCCCAAGAAUUUCAAUCAUUAUUUCCUUUCAUAGCCUGAAAAAGUGCGACGCUACAAACCCUUAUAAACCCCAAAGACACGCCAUUUCAUUGUACCACUAAAUCACGCCUCAUUAUUUCGCGCUUCUUUCUCGCGCAUACCACUGUUCAUCUUCUUGUUUCUCUGCUACGUUUCUCAAGUAAACUUUAAAAAAAUUGUAUUUCGUCCUCAAUAGCUGCUGCACAAACCCAAUCUGACGACUCUUUUAGCUUCGAAGAUUUCCAGAAAAUCCUCACUCGGCCAUAUGUAAAUCCGAACUUCCUUGCACCGGCCAAUGCCGAACUUAAUGAGUUCUUUUUGGGUCCUUCAUUCAACAACGCUGAAGCCGUCAAACAAGUGGCGGUGGGCCAGCUCUUCCCUUGUACUCAAGGCCCUCCAUUCCUGAACUCUUUGCCGCUGAGGCCGAUUUGCGAAAAAAGGUAUUCACACUUGGCCUAAAUCCGAUGUUGUUUUCCGUAGAUGGCAUGCUCGCCUUGUGGGCCAUGGUCCUACCAAGGUAAUUUUUGAUCGUGCUAGGAUUUCUGAUUUAUUAGAAAUCUCUCUUCAACCCCCAAUUUUUGACCCAACACUUUUUCCUAUUACCUUAAGUUUUUGGUCUUCUAAAUAUAAUACUUUUGUUUUCCCUCUUGGUCCCAUGUCUAUUACUUUAAGGGAUGUUGGAGCCCUGAUAAAUCUUCCACCUUUGGGCGACACCAUUUUUCCUGGUAUUUUGAUUUUCGAUGUUGCCCCAAAAUUUGACAAAAAACUCACUGAGUCCUAUUCAAGCCUGCAAGGCUGUUAUAAUCACUCAAACGCUGAGCCUUCCCACGCUGAGCGUGUAGCUUUUCUUCAGAUUUGGCUUUGUAAAUAUAUUCUGUGUGUGCCCAGUAUAAAGUCUUCUAUGAGCUAUUUACCUAUAACGCACGAAUUGGCACGUGGUAGGCCUUUGAAUUUGUGUUCCUUCUUUUUGGCUGCCCUCUAUAGAGGCAUGGCUUCUCUUCAAUUUCAAUUGAAGAAUGGUGCAUCUCCCAAUGGCAGUGGGCCUCUUUAGUUCACUCAACUGUAGUUGAGAGCCUAUUUUCCAUCACUUGGUGCUCUAUCCAUGUCACUUCGUUCUGCUAGCUGCUAUGGGCUAGCCAUUGACCCAUUGAGCCCUGUAAAUAUGUCUAGAAGGGAUAUUUUUUCAUUUUUUUAUACUUUAAAUUCAAUUCAUUCCUUCUUUCCUUUUCCUGCUUAUUUAAUUCCAGAUUAUGUGCAACCUCCAUCUACCCUGGACAGUGCGAGCACCUCUUUGCUCGUUUGGGUUCAGUUUUUAAUUGGGAGGGAGUUGUUCCAUGAUAUUUUAACCGGAACCAAUGCCAAAGCUGGGGUUGAAAUAUAUGUUCCCCAAUUUUUUGCUCGCCAAAUUGGUUUUGGCGAAACUUGGCCUGUUCCCUCUUAUUAUUCAAAAAAUUUGAUAGACCGCUUUCGUACCAUUAAUAAGGCAGAGGCACAAGUUAUAGAUGCUGGCAAUAUUCUUUUGAUGAGUAACUUUUCAUUAGCCCCCUUCAAUCCUAACUGUGCCGUUCAUCCCCUUUUUGAACAACUCUGGCCAUCAGUGAAGCACAGAUUGUUUGCAACUGAUGCCAAUCGUGCUUUCCAUUCACUGGAUUAGCCAAACAUUCCUUCCACUUCUCCUAUUUUGGUCACUCCUGUGUCCAUUAGGAAUCCUUCCUCCCCUGCUCGUGCUAAACAAUCUGUUCGUCCCUCUACUUCUCUACCUGCCAAACCUACUGCAGCUAAGAGUGCCCCAAGCCGCAAACGGUCAGUUUCAACAUCUCCCAUUUUGGAUUAUGAUGAUGAUGAUGAUGACACUCCUCUCAUCGUCAGGAGAAAGGUAAUUGAUUUCUGUUUAUUCACAAGCAUACAUUUCUAUGUGCUAGUGGUUUUCUUGAAUUUCUCAGAAAAGUUCAGCCUCUCCUUUGACGGCUUUGGUGUUGGCAGCUCCUGCUCCAUCAUCCUCUGCUGGAGCUGCUUCGUCCAAACCAGCUAAUGAAAUGACUACGCUUAAAGAGAAACCUUCAGUCUCGGAACCUUCAUCACAACCAAUGGACGAGCCACUUUCUUUCCAGGGCGCCAACCCCCCAAACGUCGAACCAGAAGGUAAUACAUUUUUUGAUGUUUUACCUUUGCUUAUGCUAUUGGUUUCUGAUUUGUUGCUUCUUUAAUCAUGCAGAGGCUCCUCUAGGUCUGUCCGUUGUGGCAGAGUCUUCUCGCCCAAAUAAGGGAAAGUCUCCACAGGUGGUGGGGCCACAGGUGGUGGAGCCAACUGGUGAUAUGCCACCUCCCAAGAUUGCUGAUGAGGUAACCUUUUGCUUCACUUUUAUUUUCACUUUGUUUAUUGUAGUGAAAACCGUCAAUGUUGGCAUUUCUCUUUGCAGGAUGCUGAUGAGAUUGUACGUUCCGUCCAGGACUUGUUCACUUCCUGGGAGCAAGUCAAGACGUCUUGCCUUACUUCAACUGGUCGUCCUUCUGCUUCUUCAAAGGAAGAUAUGAAGUUCCUCAAACAGUCGAUAUUUGAGUAUGUAUCUUUUAUGGAUAUGGACAUCGGUCAGGCUAGUGCUGCCAAACAUAAGGAUAAACUUGAGCAUUUGAGUGCGAAGUUGGCGCAAGCACUGACACUUUCGUCGCUCAAUAUGUUUGCUGAUUUUAAAGCGACGUUGAAAGUUGUCCACUCUGACAUCCUCUCUUUGCUGGCCAAAAAUGUUGAACUGAAGGCCAAGAGUACUCAAUAUCUUCGCGUUGCAUCUGAAAGAGAGUCUUUGCUUCUGGAGAUCAACAAAGUUGAGGAUGAAUUGAAAGAAAUCUCUUCCGAAAUUAUGAUUGAAGACUCUUUGAUGACCAGUUUGGCUGCACAGAUGAAGGAACUUCAAGCAAGGAUGGAUGACUGCAAGGCGAGAAUGGCUGCUAAAAAGCGUAAUGCUUCCUAAGGAAUUGAGCGAACUAAGUCUUUGGUCGAGCAGUACAAGAAGCUGGAGAUUGAUGAUGAUUUUGUAGCUGAAUUGAAUGUCGCUUCUUCUCAGCAGAGCGAGGAUUGGGGGAGACUUAGGGAAAGAAUUCGUUCGGUCUGGGGCGAAUUGUAAUUAAGACAUCUAAUACCUUAACUUUUCUUUUUGUAACUUCGUAUUAACUUUCCUCUUGUAACCUCGUACUAAUAGCCAUUGCCAAUUUUGAAUGUAACAGCAGUCAUUGUCAUUAAUGAACGACUAAUUUGUCU